Small nucleolar RNA from Bison bison bison, 127 nucleotides. NCBI's taxonomy places the organism in Eukaryota, Metazoa, Chordata, Mammalia, Artiodactyla, Bovidae. The record is from Ensembl.
AGAUCAUUUCAAAGAGGGCUGGGGGGACCCAACCCAGGAGCCUUCAACAUUGUGACCAAAGAUUGACUUCUCUAUUAGCUGUACUAAUCACUUGAGAGUGCUACAUUUUCCUGAUGGAGACAUAAGC